UGACUAACACCUUGUCGUCCACUGCUUGUGGGAACGAAGAGGGAUGCAUGAAAGCGCUGCUGAAGAGGUGGAAAAGAUGGUGAUAGUAGUGGAAAUGAUGGAGGUGGUGAAGAAGGAAAAGGAGGAGUUGGAGAACAAAGACAGAAAGAAAAGAGCGGCGAAUGCCGCAUGUAACGCUUAGUCUUUCUUGAAGCUGUAAGUAAAAGGAGAGGGAGUAGGAUGAACCAUGCUUCUUAAGUGUCUGUACGUGAGAACGAGGAGGUUAUUCACUGUUCUACGGAAAUGUUCGAGCAUGAUGAUGUUGCCACAGUAAUGUGCCUUUUAUAAUCUCUGAUAGUUAUAUGAAUUCAUUCGUAAUGUUUAUGAUACUAAUGUAAAUUAUCGAUAAGGCAAUAAAUACUACAGUUUUUUAAAUUAUUUAUUUUAUAUACUUUUAAUGAUUAUGAUUUACGCUUAAAUAACAUUGAAUUAUUUAAUAAUUGAUUUUUAUUAAAAAUACCUUUCCCUUUUUCUGAGAAUUAUUAGUUAAACUUGUAAUGCGCACCCCUAAAUAAUAAUUAUAGCAUUGUUAUAUAUAUAUAUUUUUUUUUUGUUUAAAUACGAAACAAGCGAAUGUAUUAAUAAAAUUUCAUUUGUCAAGCGAUACAUUACCAUAUUUACAUUGUAUCUACAUCAUCUAACAUUUUAUUACGUUAUAUUCGUUUAAUAAUGUGAUUAAGAUAGUUUGUGGAAGGACUGUGCAGUAAUAAUACACGCGAAAAUAGCGAUAAUAAUGUAUGCCUAUCGUUACAACAUACUUUGCUUCUACGAUUUCCGCCGUAUCUUAUCCCGCAAUUGUAUUUUACUCAAAUGAGAUAAAUGCGAUACAUUACUGUAAUGCCGAUUGAUUAUUAUUACAAGAGUCGUAGUGUUCGAAAUCGACUAUUUAUUGCUCCUAGGAAUUUAUGUUUCUCUGGAGAUUCUUAAUACUGACUUUUCUCCGAAAAAUCACAGAAUUCAAUUUCAUUCUUUUGUCUUUUUUUUUUUUUCGUUUGUUUAAAUAUUCAUAAAUUUUAUUCAUGUAAUUGUUCCUCGAAAAACAUUUGAGUUAAUUUCCAGUAUUACUGGGUUAUCGAAUGACAAUCAAAUAUUUUGAAUAAAUUUUUUUUAGAUUAUAUUAUACGAUUUUACUAUUUCCUUUUUUUUUUUUGUCUUCCAAAUAACAAGCGACGCACGAAUCUCCGGACGUUUCAUCGAGUAAGCGCAAUUUCACACACAUAUUAAUUCUACUUUCGAAGAAAUAUUUUUUUUUUUCUUUUCGUUUUAUACGAGGUACGCACAACAACAUUCGAGCAACGUGCAUGAGUCAGCGACGCGCGCUCAACCGAAUACGCACGUUAAAAAAAAAGAAAGAAAAAAAAACAGAGGAUUCUCACACGUGGAAAAAGCAUGACCUAUAACGCACGUCGCUGUUACAAUGAACAAGUGGUAUCGUAGAUUACAAUAUGGUACUUGCUCAGUCUACCCGUUUGUGAGAACAGACAAAGAGGAGAUAAGAUUGCCGCUUUAUGCUUAAACUAAUUGCGCGCUGACAAUAUUUAAAAUUACCGAUAUAAGCGAGAAUCGCGUUUUGCUUUUCUUUUUCUCGCAGCAUUUCAAUCGAAUACUGACUGUUUUAGAGACCAGCAGAUUUCCAAAAAAAUCUAUCUUCGCGAUUAAUGAGAAUUCUAAAGCAAAACCAGAAUUCUCUCUCGCUUCAAUUUUCAUUCUAGAUAUAACACAGUAGUUAUAGGGUACUUUUACAUAGCACGGAACAUGUUUAUUAUAUUUCCAUUUGUGUUUUUAUUCUGUUAAUUUCUCAUAUAAUACUAACAAAACAUUUAAUUACAAAACAUGGUACGAGUGUGUGUUGUAUUUUCUUUUUGUAUGUAUUAUGUAUGUGUCAUAUGUAAGUAAGUGUAUAUAUGUAUCGUGUGAUGAAAGCAUUAAUUAUGCAUCUCUAUGUGGUAUGCAUAUCAUCUGGUUAAUGUAAAUAUUACGAUUAUUUCAUAAGUUCUCUACAAGUAGAUGGAUUUUAUAACGACAAUUUACACGCCGAACGCGUGCAGUAAAUACGUCCCAUUUGCCCGCAGCGUCUCUUCGUUUAAUUUUACAUUCAUCACGACUUCGUCUUGUAUGGGCCUACGACCAAUUCUUUUCUAUAAUCUAUUCCGAUGAAUAUG
Apis florea (little honeybee) is the source of this 2201-nucleotide long non-coding RNA. The record is from RefSeq and is a predicted model, not a curated record. NCBI's taxonomy places the organism in Eukaryota, Metazoa, Arthropoda, Insecta, Hymenoptera, Apidae.